Molecule: long non-coding RNA, 256 nt
Filed under: Homo sapiens (human)
Lineage: Eukaryota; Metazoa; Chordata; Mammalia; Primates; Hominidae
Description: HSALNT0140360
Source: RNAcentral
AAUCUCCCCUGGUAGAACUCCUGUCUCUGAAGAUGUUAGUUCAGUAGGCUUAUGAUGGGCUCAGAGUUUAAUCCCUGGGGGACUUUGAUGAAGCAUUUCAUGGACAAAUGUUUGAGGGCCAGCAGCCAAGUAUAAAGGGUUACAGGUUACACAGGGCCAGUGUUGGUUCAUUUUGAGACGGUACUACAAAAGAUAAUGAACACCAGAGGUAUGGAUCAUUGGGGACCAUCUUGGGGGCUGGCUGCCCCUUGAAUGU